AGAAGCCCCACAUCGGCUCCCAAAAUUAGGGAACAAUAAAGUAAAUGAUGUGUGUGCAAGAAUGUGUAAAUGUGUGUGUGUGUCUGUCAGUGUGUAUGUGUCUGUCAGUGAGUGUCUGUGUGUCUGUCAGUGAGUGUGUCUGUCAGUGAGUGUGUGUGUGUGUCUGUCUGUCAGUGAGUGUGUCUGUCAGUGAGUGUGUGUGUGUUGGUCAGUGUUGCACUGGAGAGUGGAGUACCUGGAGGUGCAUGGAGGCACGCAACGCCACGUCACAUUCCGACGUUACAUCGACGUGCUCCACCUUCACAGGGUUUCAAGAAGUAGCGGGAGGAUCAGAUUUGGCACAGGGUGCAGACGGCGCUAUUUGGGGUAUACCAGAGGCCGGACUCGCAUACUGGCAGUGGCAAUGUGAGUGGAGUCUGCUUGUUGGCUAGAGG
Molecule: non-coding RNA, 434 nt
Organism: Pelobates cultripes (western spadefoot toad)
Lineage: Eukaryota; Metazoa; Chordata; Amphibia; Anura; Pelobatidae
Source: the annotation of a GenBank genome assembly